UUCCUUUAAUAGCACGUAUACUGCAAUUGAAACAAAUCAAAGAAGAUUAGCAUGGCUCAUGCAUAAGGAUAACAUGCAGAUUUGUGAAGCCCUCCAUAUGUUU
This is a small nuclear RNA of Talpa occidentalis (Iberian mole), 103 nucleotides long. Lineage: Eukaryota; Metazoa; Chordata; Mammalia; Eulipotyphla; Talpidae. The record is from RefSeq and is a predicted model, not a curated record.